This 84-nucleotide small nucleolar RNA is filed under the name Sus scrofa (pig). Its description in RNAcentral is "Small nucleolar RNA SNORA1 (ENSSSCG00070003346.1)". It matches the Rfam family "Small nucleolar RNA SNORA1", at positions 52 to 135 of the family's 135-position model. From Rfam's summary of the family: ACA1 is a member of the H/ACA class of snoRNA that guide the sites of modification of uridines to pseudouridines. Lineage: Eukaryota; Metazoa; Chordata; Mammalia; Artiodactyla; Suidae. The record is from RNAcentral.
AGCAAAGUAGCUACAUGGAGACACGGGUUAUGCUUCCAUCAUAGUAAUUUUAUUGCAAUGGUGAUGAUGAGACCUGAGACAUUU